This 460-nucleotide ribosomal RNA is filed under the name uncultured bacterium. RNAcentral's name for it is "partial 16S ribosomal RNA". It matches the Rfam family "Bacterial small subunit ribosomal RNA", at positions 338 to 795 of the family's 1533-position model. The record is from RNAcentral.
CCUACGUGAGGCAGCAGUGAGGAAUAUUGGUCAAUGGGCGCGAGCCUGAACCAGCCAAGUAGCGUGAAGGAUGACUGCCCUACGGGUUGUAAACUUCUUUUAUAAAGGAAUAAAGUGAGGCACGUGUGCCUUUUUGUAUGUACUUUAUGACUAAGGAUCGGCUACCUCCGUGCCGGCAGCCGCGGUACUACGGCGGGUUCGAGCGUUAUCCGGAUUUAUUGGGUUUAAAGGGAGCGUAGAUGGGUUGUUAAGUCAGUUGUGAAAGUUUGCGGCUCAACCGUAAAAUUGCAAUUGAUACUGGCAGCCUUGAGUACAGUUGAGGUAGGCGGAAUUCGUGGUGUAGCGGUGAAAUGCUUAGAUAUCACGAAGAACACCGAUUGCGAAGGCAGCUUACUAAACUGCCACUGACAUUGAUGCUCGAAAGUGUGGGUAUCAAACAGGAUUAGAUACCCCUGUAGUC